Paramuricea clavata is the source of this 73-nucleotide non-coding RNA. The record is from the annotation of a GenBank genome assembly. NCBI's taxonomy places the organism in Eukaryota, Metazoa, Cnidaria, Anthozoa, Malacalcyonacea, Plexauridae.
GACCGCGUAGCUCAGUUGGCAGAGCAUUGGGCUAGUAUUCCAAAAGUCGUAGGUUCGAUUCCCACCGUGGUCA